Molecule: ribosomal RNA, 157 nt
Filed under: uncultured Pseudomonas sp.
Lineage: Bacteria; Pseudomonadati; Pseudomonadota; Gammaproteobacteria; Pseudomonadales; Pseudomonadaceae
Description: partial 16S ribosomal RNA
Rfam family: Bacterial small subunit ribosomal RNA
Source: RNAcentral
GCGAAGCCUGAUCCAGCCAUGCCGCGUGUGUGAAGAAGGUCUUCGGAUUGUAAAGCACUUUAAGUUGGGAGGAAGGGCAGUUACCUAAUACGUGAUUGUUUUGACGUUACCGACAGAAUAAGCACCGGCUAACUCUGUGCCAGCAGCCGCGGUAAUA